CAAAGGUUUGGUCCUGACUUUAUUAUCAACUCUAGCUAAACUUACACAUGCAAGUAUCCGCACCCCUGUGAGAAUGCCCUACAGUCUUCUUCCCGAAGACAAGGAGCAGGUAUCAGGCACAUACAUUAAGCCCACGACACCUUGUUAAGCCACACCCUCAAGGGAACUCAGCAGUGAUUAAUAUUAAGCAAUAAGUGAAAACUUGACUUAGUUAAAGCUUAGAGGGCCGGUAAAACUCGUGCCAGCCACCGCGGUUAUACGAGAGGCCCAAGUUGACAAUCGCGGCGUAAAGAGUGGUUAAGAGGUAAAUUGAACUAAGGCCGAACGCUUUCAAGGCUGUUAUACGCAUCCGAAAGUAUGAAGCUCCGUCACGAAAGUAGCCUUAAUUGUCUGAACCCACGAAAGCCAGGGCACAAACUGGGAUUAGAUACCCCACUAUGCCUGGUCUUAAACAUUGAUAGUACAUUACAUUUACUAUCCGCCUGGGAACUACGAGCAUCAGCUUAAAACCCAAAGGACUUGGCGGUGCUUAAGAUCCACCUAGAGGAGCCUGUUCUAGAACCGAUAAUCCCCGUUCAACCUCACCCUCUCUUGUUCUUUCCGCCUAUAUACCGCCGUCGUCAGCUUACCCUGUGAAGGCUUAAUAGUAAGCAAAAUUGGUAUAACCCAAAACGUCAGGCCGAGGUGUAGCGUAUGAGAGGGAAAAAAAUGGGCUACAUUUCCUAAAAUAGGAAAUACGAAUAUUGUACUGAAACGUACAUUUGAAGGAGGAUUUAGCAGUAAGCAAAAAAUAGAGUGUUUUGCUGAAAUUGGCCCUAAAGCGCGCACACACCGCCCGUCACUCUCCCCAAGCUCCCUUCUAACUAUAACUAAUAACUUAAAUUUGCAAAGGGGAGGCAAGUCGUAACAUGGUAAGUGUACCGGAAGGUGCACUUGGUUAAU
RNAcentral lists this non-coding RNA (942 nucleotides) under Trichogaster fasciata (banded gourami). Its description in RNAcentral is "12S ribosomal RNA". It matches the Rfam family "Bacterial small subunit ribosomal RNA". Lineage: Eukaryota; Metazoa; Chordata; Actinopteri; Anabantiformes; Osphronemidae. The record is from RNAcentral.